UCUCCCACCGGUGCCUCUCCUCUCGCCAGCCCUAGAUGUGCCGCUGCCGCCGUCACAGCCGCCGUCAUUCUCCUCUGAUCUGUCAUGUUCGUAGCUUCUCUGGGCGCAUCAUCUCCAUUAAUCCCCGCAAUUCUCCCUUCCAGACCGCCCUCUAGCGACCUAGAGCGAACGCCAAGUGCGCCCGGCGGCCACCUCCAACGACCCCGGUGACUCCUCUCUGUGCCUCUCGAGGAUAUGAGAUAAUCUCUUCUGCUACGUUUGGUAAAGACGGAUUUGUUCUGAUGGGAGUGCGACUCAUCGGCGUGUAUGGUGUCUCGCCCGCGGGCGCGGCUACACGUCGAAGCCCUCGGAGGUCCCUGCUGCCACCGUCUUGCCUCCCGCUUGAGAGUUUGAACUGCACAUGCUUUGAUGGGCGUAUUGUACGCCACCGUCCUGCACCCCCGGCAAACCUGGCCGUGGUUUUGCUGCUGAAGAGAGCACCCCAACCAAGAGUUAAACCACUUUACUGAGGAAGAUGAUUUUAUACAGAAUCAUGGAAAACAUUUCUGAGAGACUUUCAUGAAGAAACCCAUGGAUGGCAUGGGGUAGAAGAAGCAAACAAAUGUUGGACUCCAUCUAGAACCUCAAUGAGCCGUACGACCGCGGUGCAGACCGGCCCUUGUAAGCUCCAGAUCACCCGCAAGACUGUUGCGAAUUUGGGCAGAAAUACUAGCUCUUAGUACUUGAAUACUUGUCGGUCCAUCACACAGGUUUCUUGCAUAAGUGUUUGUUGGUACUAGGUUGAUGUAUCUCAUGUCAAUAUGAUAUAUUCUAUGAUCAGAAUAGUGAUUUUUUGCUCGACAGACUGAUAUUCUUUGCUCAAUUAAUAUUAUCUCAAUCUGGUUGAAACAGAGCGCACAUUAGCUUCUCUACUGUAAAUACUUAUUUAUUUAUAUUGCAAACACCAGUGCAACUUUUUUAUAUGAAAAAUAAAGUUUCUAAAAGAGUUCAUAGCUUUAGACAACUUGUUGGGCUAGGCUUUGAGUG
This is a long non-coding RNA of Triticum dicoccoides, 1026 nucleotides long. RefSeq lists it as uncharacterized. The record is from RefSeq and is a predicted model, not a curated record. NCBI's taxonomy places the organism in Eukaryota, Viridiplantae, Streptophyta, Magnoliopsida, Poales, Poaceae. The transcript is spliced from 5 exons.